This 463-nucleotide ribosomal RNA is filed under the name Vreelandella stevensii. RNAcentral describes it as "partial 16S ribosomal RNA". It matches the Rfam family "Bacterial small subunit ribosomal RNA", at positions 338 to 793 of the family's 1533-position model. Lineage: Bacteria; Pseudomonadati; Pseudomonadota; Gammaproteobacteria; Oceanospirillales; Halomonadaceae. The record is from RNAcentral.
CCUACGUGAGGCUGCAGUGGGGAAUAUUGGACAAUGGGCGAAAGCCUGAUCCAGCCAUGCCGCGUGUGUGAAGAAGGCCUUCGGGUUGUAAAGCACUUUCAGUGGGGAAGAAAGCCUUGGGGCUAAUACCCUCGAGGAAGGACAUCACCCACAGAAGAAGCACCGGCUAACUCCGUGCCAGCAGCCGCGGUAAUACGGAGGGUGCGAGCGUUAAUCGGAAUUACUGGGCGUAAAGCGCGCGUAGGCGGUCUGAUAAGCCGGUUGUGAAAGCCCCGGGCUCAACCUGGGAACGGCAUCCGGAACUGUCAGGCUAGAGUGCAGGAGAGGAAGGUAGAAUUCCCGGUGUAGCGGUGAAAUGCGUAGAGAUCGGGAGGAAUACCAGUGGCGAAGGCGGCCUUCUGGACUGACACUGACGCUGAGGUGCGAAAGCGUGGGUAGCAAACAGGAUUAGAUACCCUAGUAC